This 507-nucleotide ribosomal RNA is filed under the name uncultured bacterium. RNAcentral's name for it is "partial 16S ribosomal RNA". The record is from RNAcentral.
GGAGUUAGCCGGUGCUUCUUCUGUGAGUGAUGUCCUUCCUGCCGGCUAUUAACCCGCAGGCCUUCUUCCUCACUGAAAGUGCUUUACAACCCGAAGGCCUUCUUCACACACGCGGCAUGGCUGGAUCAGGGUUGCCCCCAUUGUCCAAUAUUCCCCACUGCUGCCUCCCGUAGGAGUCUGGGCCGUGUCUCAGUCCCAGUGUGGCUGAUCAUCCUCUCAGACCAGCUACGGAUCGUCGCCUUGGUGAGCCGUUACCUCACCAACCAGCUAAUCCGACAUAGGCUCAUCCGAUAGCGCGAGGACCGAAGGUCCCCCGCUUUCCCCCGUAGGGCGUAUGCGGUAUUAGCCUGGGUUUCCCCAGGUUAUCCCCCACUACCGGGCAGAUUCCUAUGCAUUACUCACCCGUCCGCCGCUCGCCACCAGGGAGCAAGCUCCCCGUGCUGCCGCUCGACUUGCAUGUGUUAGGCCUGCCGCCAGCGUUCAAUCUGAGCCAGGAUCAAACUCUGA